GCCUGGGUGGCUCAGUCGGUUGAGCAUCUGACUUUGGCUCAGGUCAUGAUCUCACGGUCUGUGAGUUCGAGCCCCGCGUCGGGCU
This 85-nucleotide transfer RNA is filed under the name Felis catus (domestic cat). It matches the Rfam family "tRNA". Rfam says of the family: Transfer RNA (tRNA) molecules are approximately 80 nucleotides in length. Lineage: Eukaryota; Metazoa; Chordata; Mammalia; Carnivora; Felidae. The record is from Rfam by way of RNAcentral. RNAcentral also lists the same sequence under 1 other name.